CUCAUUGAAGUGGUUAUAGUGCCUGGAGCCCCCUGGCACUUCCUCCAUUCAGUGUUAAACCAUUUCAUCUCAUUGAAGUAUUUAUAGAGUCUGGAGUCCCCUUCGGCUGUCCCUCCAUGCAGUGUUAAACCAUUCCAUCUCAUUGAAGUGGUUAUAGUACUUGGAGUCCCUGGUCUCCAUUCAGUGUUAAACCAUUUUAUCUCAUUGAAGUGGUUAUAGUACUUGGAGUCCCCUGGCG
This is a non-coding RNA of Pelobates cultripes (western spadefoot toad), 238 nucleotides long. The record is from the annotation of a GenBank genome assembly. NCBI's taxonomy places the organism in Eukaryota, Metazoa, Chordata, Amphibia, Anura, Pelobatidae.